GUGCUCACCUCAAGAACUCAUACACUAAACUUGUAACUAUACAGAGAAUAGCAUGGCCCCUGCACAAGGAAGUUAAUGCAAAUCCAUGAAUCAUUCCUUAUUUUU
Small nuclear RNA from Suncus etruscus (white-toothed pygmy shrew), 105 nucleotides. The record is from RefSeq and is a predicted model, not a curated record. Lineage: Eukaryota; Metazoa; Chordata; Mammalia; Eulipotyphla; Soricidae.